UUUAAGUGAAGAGUUUGAUCCUGGCUCAGAGUGAACGCUGGCGGCAGGCCUAACACAUGCAAGUCGAACGGCAGCGCAGGGGAGCUUGCUCCCCGGGCGGCGAGUGGCGGACGGGUGAGGAAUACGUCGGAAUCUGCCUUUUUGUGGGGGAUAACGUAGGGAAACUUACGCUAAUACCGCAUACGACCUACGGGUGAAAGUGGGGGACCGCAAGGCCUCACGCAGAAAGAUGAGCCGACGUCGGAUUAGCUAGUUGGUGGGGUAAUGGCCCACCAAGGCGACGAUCCGUAGCUGGUCUGAGAGGAUGAUCAGCCACACUGGAACUGAGACACG
Molecule: ribosomal RNA, 333 nt
Filed under: Lysobacteraceae bacterium
Lineage: Bacteria; Pseudomonadati; Pseudomonadota; Gammaproteobacteria; Lysobacterales; Lysobacteraceae
Description: bacterial SSU rRNA
Rfam family: Bacterial small subunit ribosomal RNA
Source: RNAcentral